Molecule: transfer RNA, 73 nt
Filed under: Halioglobus sp. HI00S01
Lineage: Bacteria; Pseudomonadati; Pseudomonadota; Gammaproteobacteria; Cellvibrionales; Halieaceae
Rfam family: tRNA
About the family: Transfer RNA (tRNA) molecules are approximately 80 nucleotides in length. Their secondary structure includes four short double-helical elements and three loops (D, anti-codon, and T loops). Further hydrogen bonds mediate the characteristic L-shaped molecular structure. tRNAs have two regions of fundamental functional importance: the anti-codon, which is responsible for specific mRNA codon recognition, and the 3' end, to which the tRNAs corresponding amino acid is attached (by aminoacyl-tRNA synthetases). tRNAs cope with the degeneracy of the genetic code in two manners: having more than one tRNA (with a specific anti-codon) for a particular amino acid; and 'wobble' base-pairing, i.e. permitting non-standard base-pairing at the 3rd anti-codon position.
Source: Rfam by way of RNAcentral
GGGUGAAUAGCUCAAUCGGGAGAGCGCCUGUCUUACACGCAGGAGGUCGUUGGUUCGAUCCCAACUUCACCCA